AAACCAACUUGCUGAGGAGUUUGCAUUGCAAAGAGUUAGUUCAAAACGUCAAAGGAAGCAUAUUUUAUGAUUCCUGAAAAUGAGGCACUCUGGCUCAUGUUGAGUUGACAGACACUGAACAGCACCAAGAAUUUGUUUUGGUUCAUAGUUUGAGAGGUGAUGAAGUGAAUCCUGGAAGAAGGCAUUGCCGCAGCAUCGUGAGAUCGCAGCACCAUAGCGUCUGCAGUCAGGAAGUGGAGAGUAGAGAGUAGACAGGACGUGGCAUCGCAUUUCCCAAUUCAUAGGCUUCACAAGACCCUAGACUGCACAGAUCAUGGGAAGAAGAGUGCAGAUGAGCAGUCAUGAUACCCUUGUCCACCCCCCCUCGGUUCCAAACGUAUCAACACUUUCAGAUACUAACAAGUCAGGCACUACAAUGCCAGGAACGGACUUGUAGGACCCAUGUCAGCAAGUUCUGGGAUCCAACAACGCCAAGCAGCUGGGAUCCUGGCCUAGAAAACAGGUUGUAUCACUAAUACCAAAGGUGUUGGACCCGGAGCAAGAAAAUCUCCAUCAUUGGUUCCCUCCAGACCCGCUCUGUGACCCCAAGUUCUAGACACCAGUGACAGACAGAUGGGUGUCCUCAUUCUCCCUAAAUGGGGCUGGAUUACAGGGUGGCUUUUUGUUGG
This 668-nucleotide long non-coding RNA is filed under the name Mus pahari (shrew mouse). RNAcentral describes it as "lncRNA (MGP_PahariEiJ_G0006350.1)". The record is from RNAcentral. Lineage: Eukaryota; Metazoa; Chordata; Mammalia; Rodentia; Muridae.